GCGGGCGUGGCGGAAUUGGCAGACGCACAGGAUUUAGGUUCCUGUGGGGUAACUCCCGUGCAGGUUCGAGCCCUGUCGCCCGCA
RNAcentral lists this transfer RNA (84 nucleotides) under Phycisphaera sp. Its description in RNAcentral is "tRNA-Leu". It matches the Rfam family "tRNA". Rfam says of the family: Transfer RNA (tRNA) molecules are approximately 80 nucleotides in length. The record is from RNAcentral. Lineage: Bacteria; Pseudomonadati; Planctomycetota; Phycisphaerae; Phycisphaerales; Phycisphaeraceae.